AUUGAACGCUGGCGGCAUGCUUUACACAUGCAAGUCGAACGGUAACAGGCCGCAAGGUGCUGACGAGUGGCGAACGGGUGAGUAAUGCAUCGGAACGUGCCCAGUCGUGGGGGAUAACUACUCGAAAGAGUAGCUAAUACCGCAUACGAUCUAUGGAUGAAAGCGGGGGACCGUAAGGCCUCGCGCGAUUGGAGCGGCCGAUGUCAGAUUAGGUAGUUGGUGGGGUAAAGGCUCACCAAGCCAUCGAUCUGUAGCUGGUCUGAGAGGACGACCAGCCACACUGGGACUGAGACACGGCCCAGACUCCUACGGGAGGCAGCAGUGGGGAAUUUUGGACAAUGGGCGCAAGCCUGAUCCAGCAAUGCCGCGUGCAGGAAGAAGGCCUUCGGGUUGUAAACUGCUUUUGUACGGAACGAAACGGCUCUGGUUAAUACCCGGGGCUAAUGACGGUACCGUAAGAAUAAGCACCGGCUAACUACGUG
This 482-nucleotide ribosomal RNA is filed under the name uncultured bacterium. Its description in RNAcentral is "partial 16S ribosomal RNA". It matches the Rfam family "Bacterial small subunit ribosomal RNA", at positions 30 to 507 of the family's 1533-position model. The record is from RNAcentral.